GCUUCAGGUGUUUGUUUGACAACAAGGAGCGCGUGAUGACAGACACCAAAACAAAACACGUGCAGUUUGAUUUAAAUACACAAUUUACAGAUGACAGCUUAGCGACAGACUCUUAAUGUGUUUAAACAGCACAUAUUCCAGCUCAACAGCAAAUUAAACCUGCGGAAUCUGCGAUAAAGAGGAGGAAUGGAGUGAAGAGACUCACCUAAUGAAGGUUGUGUUUGGACUGUACAGCCAACAGAAUCAGAGCUCUGGACAUUUGACAGCCAUGGACUGUAAGGAUGGACAUCUGCUGCUGGACAGGCAAAAGCGAAACGACUGCUGGUCAUGAUUCUGGAGGUCAGCGGAGACGCCAUGAUUCCCCACACCUUCUCACUCACUGUUCAACUGUUAUGUUCCCUGUUGUUACACACAAAAACAACUGUUCAAGUUACAGGUCCAGCAUGCUGAGUUGGGUCUUGAAUCACCUGGACUCCAACAAAACCUCAUCUUCAUUAACCCAGCAGAGCCACCAUGGCUUUCACAAUGAGUGUGUUGGAGACACUUUGAUGGAUGCUGAUGAUGGAGCUCAUGAGUUCUUAUAGUGUUUCAUUUUUAAAUUGGUUUCAUUUAACAAUCAUAUUUUUACAUUGAAUUCAUAUUUCAGUUUAGUUUUUGAAAGUUUCAUGAAUGGUUUGGUUAGUUUUAGUUCAGUUUUUAUUGUGUGAACACAUUUCUAUUUAGUUUCCAUAUAUUUAGUUUGAGUAAUUCUAGUUUUACAGAGUUAACAGAACACGACAGCAAUGUUGGCACAGCUUACAUUAUCUUGUGUGCAAACCUUAACUUGUGUGUGAAACUUAUUCAUAUUAAUAAGUUUAUAUGCAGUUAAACAUGCCAAGUUUAUAUUAUAUUUGGCGGAUGAAGAA
This is a long non-coding RNA of Danio aesculapii, 905 nucleotides long. RefSeq lists it as uncharacterized. The record is from RefSeq and is a predicted model, not a curated record. Lineage: Eukaryota; Metazoa; Chordata; Actinopteri; Cypriniformes; Danionidae. The transcript is spliced from 3 exons.